RNAcentral lists this unclassified non-coding RNA (348 nucleotides) under Hevea brasiliensis (rubber tree). Lineage: Eukaryota; Viridiplantae; Streptophyta; Magnoliopsida; Malpighiales; Euphorbiaceae. The record is from RNAcentral.
GUAAGAUCUUCGUGAGCAUAAUGCAAAGAGUGGAGCCUCCUGUACCUUGGUUGUCAAAAAGUGCUACCAACUGGAACUCUACAUCCAUUCGCUAUCUGGCUCUCUGGAUUAUUUUGUGUGAAAAUGCAAACUCAAAGUAGUAGUAUUUCAACUUUUACUCUAAAAGAGGCUUCAAAGUAUUGAGAACUACCAUCCUAAUUAUGUUCUAAUUACUUGGCAGGUAAGGAUAAGAGAAACUAUCAAUAAGACUAACUAACCAAUUCUGUUGUACUCGAGGAUAGCGCAGUGUUUAGUCUUCCUGGAUCUUAUCUUGAUGGAGGUUUUCAAGAUUCUAAAUGCAUGUCUUCA